Molecule: ribosomal RNA, 1448 nt
Filed under: uncultured organism
Description: 16S ribosomal RNA
Rfam family: Bacterial small subunit ribosomal RNA
Source: RNAcentral
CAGGCUUAACACAUGCAAGUCGAGGGGCAUCAGGAAGAAAGCUUGCUUUCUUUGCUGGCGACCGGCGCACGGGUGAGUAACACGUAUCCAACCUGCCCUUUACUCGGGGAUAGCCUUUCGAAAGAAAGAUUAAUACCCGAUGGCACAAUGAUUCCGCAUGGUUUCAUUAUUAAAGGAUUCCGGUAAAGGAUGGGGAUGCGUUCCAUUAGGUUGUUGGUGAGGUAACGGCUCACCAAGCCUUCGAUGGAUAGGGGUUCUGAGAGGAAGGUCCCCCACAUUGGAACUGAGACACGGUCCAAACUCCUACGGGAGGCAGCAGUGAGGAAUAUUGGUCAAUGGGCGCUAGCCUGAACCAGCCAAGUAGCGUGAAGGAUGAAGGCUCUAUGGGUCGUAAACUUCUUUUAUAUAAGAAUAAAGUGCAGUAUGUAUACUGUUUUGUAUGUAUUAUAUGAAUAAGGAUCGGCUAACUCCGUGCCAGCAGCCGCGGUAAUACGGAGGAUCCGAGCGUUAUCCGGAUUUAUUGGGUUUAAAGGGAGCGUAGGUGGACUGGUAAGUCAGUUGUGAAAGUUUGCGGCUCAACCGUAAAAUUGCAGUUGAUACUGUCAGUCUUGAGUACAGUAGAGGUGGGCGGAAUUCGUGGUGUAGCGGUGAAAUGUUUAGAUAUCACGAAGAACUCCGAUUGCGAAGGCAGCUCACUGGACUGCAACUGACACUGAUGCUCGAAAGUGUGGGUAUCAAACAGGAUUAGAUAUCCUGGUAGUCCACACAGUAAACGAUGAAUACUCGCUGUUUGCGAUAUACAGUAAGCGGCCAAGCGAAAGCAUUAAGUAUUCCACCUGGGGAGUACGCCGGCAACGGUGAAACUCAAAGGAAUUGACGGGGGCCCGCACAAGCGGAGGAACAUGUGGUUUAAUUCGAUGAUACGCGAGGAACCUUACCCGGGCUUAAAUUGCAGUGGAAUGAUGUGGAAACAUGUCAGUGAGCAAUCACCGCUGUGAAGGUGCUGCAUGGUUGUCGUCAGCUCGUGCCGUGAGGUGUCGGCUUAAGUGCCAUAACGAGCGCAACCCUUAUCUUUAGUUACUAACAGGUUAUGCUGAGGACUCUAGAGAGACUGCCGUCGUAAGAUGUGAGGAAGGUGGGGAUGACGUCAAAUCAGCACGGCCCUUACGUCCGGGGCUACACACGUGUUACAAUGGGGGGUACAGAAGGCAGCUAGCGGGUGACCGUAUGCUAAUCCCAAAAGCCUCUCUCAGUUCGGAUCGAAGUCUGCAACCCGACUUCGUGAAGCUGGAUUCGCUAGUAAUCGCGCAUCAGCCACGGCGCGGUGAAUACGUUCCCGGGCCUUGUACACACCGCCCGUCAAGCCAUGGGAGCCGGGGGUACCUGAAGUACGUAACCGCAAGGAUCGUCCUAGGGUAAAACUGGUGACUGGGGCUAAGUCAUAACAA